AGGGUGUAAACGCUGCAGACUUGGUGUUGGAAGCCCUUUGGGGGCAUUCAGUGCCGGAGAGAAGUUGUUAAGUCUGCUACUUGGGGAGUACGUCCGCAAGGAUGAAACUUAAAGGAAUUGGCGGGGGAGGCACCGCAACGGGAGGAGCGUGCGGUUUAAUUGGAUUCAACACCGUAAACUCACCAGGGAAGACUGUUACAUGAAGGCCGAGAUGAAGACUCUGCUAGAUUUUCAGAGAGGAGGUGCAUGGCGUCAGUGACU
This 261-nucleotide ribosomal RNA is filed under the name uncultured archaeon. RNAcentral describes it as "partial 16S ribosomal RNA". It matches the Rfam family "Archaeal small subunit ribosomal RNA", at positions 748 to 1008 of the family's 1478-position model. The record is from RNAcentral.